Molecule: transfer RNA, 61 nt
Filed under: Arenivaga sp. B097
Lineage: Eukaryota; Metazoa; Arthropoda; Insecta; Blattodea; Corydiidae
Description: tRNA-Arg
Source: RNAcentral
AAAUAAGAAGCAAAAUUUUGCAGUUAGUUUCGACCUAAUCUUAGAUAAUUAUCCUUAUUUA